RNAcentral lists this ribosomal RNA (54 nucleotides) under Diplectrum formosum (sand perch). RNAcentral's name for it is "partial 12S ribosomal RNA". Lineage: Eukaryota; Metazoa; Chordata; Actinopteri; Perciformes; Serranidae. The record is from RNAcentral.
CAGAGUAUAGUUAAUUUAGUAAAACAUCUCACUUACACCGAGAAGAAACCUGUG